Molecule: small nuclear RNA, 178 nt
Filed under: Rhinolophus ferrumequinum (greater horseshoe bat)
Lineage: Eukaryota; Metazoa; Chordata; Mammalia; Chiroptera; Rhinolophidae
Description: U4 spliceosomal RNA (ENSRFEG00010007387.1)
Rfam family: U4 spliceosomal RNA
About the family: U4 small nuclear RNA (U4 snRNA) is a component of the major U2-dependent spliceosome. The structure of U4 snRNA from yeast and human has been reported.
Source: Rfam by way of RNAcentral
AGCUUUGCACAGUGGCGGUAUAGUAGCCAAUGAGGUUUAUCCGAGGUGCGAUUAUUGCUAAUUGAAAAAAGACCAAUCUUAAAUUCAUGUGGUUUGUCUGCAGUCACCUCCCAACACAUGACCUAAAAUUGCCUACAUGACCUCUGGUCAAAACAAUUUUUUAAAAUAUGGUCAUGUA